RNAcentral lists this ribosomal RNA (724 nucleotides) under Staphylococcus pseudintermedius. RNAcentral describes it as "partial 23S ribosomal RNA". It matches the Rfam family "Bacterial large subunit ribosomal RNA", at positions 1487 to 2210 of the family's 2925-position model. Lineage: Bacteria; Bacillati; Bacillota; Bacilli; Caryophanales; Staphylococcaceae. The record is from RNAcentral.
CGAAGCGUGCUGUUGGAGUGCACGUCCAAGCAGUGAGAUUGAGUGUUAGGCAAAUCCGGCACUCUUAAGAUUGAGCUGUGAUGGGGAGAGGAACUUGUUCCUCGAGUCGUUGAUUUCACACUGCCGAGAAAAGCCUCUAGCUAGAAUAACGGUGCCCGUACCGCAAACCGACACAGGUAGUCAAGAUGAGAAUUCUAAGGUGAGCGAGCGAACUCUCGUUAAGGAACUCGGCAAAAUGACCCCGUAACUUCGGGAGAAGGGGUGCUCUUUGAGGUUCACGCUUCGAAGAGCCGCAGUGAAUAGGCCCAAGCGACUGUUUAUCAAAAACACAGGUCUCUGCUAAACCGUAAGGUGACGUAUAGGGGCUGACGCCUGCCCGGUGCUGGAAGGUUAAGAGGAGUGGUUAGCGCAAGCGAAGCUACGAAUCGAAGCCCCAGUAAACGGCGGCCGUAACUAUAACGGUCCUAAGGUAGCGAAAUUCCUUGUCGGGUAAGUUCCGACCCGCACGAAAGGCGUAACGAUUUGGGCACUGUCUCAACGAGAGACUCGGUGAAAUCAUAGUACCGGUGAAGAUGCCGGUUACCCGCGACAGGACGGAAAGACCCCGUGGAGCUUUACUGUAGCCUGAUAUUGAAAUUCGGUACAGUUUGUACAGGAUAGGUAGGAGCCUUAGAAGCGUGAGCGCUAGCUUACGUGGAGGCAUUGGUGGGAUACUACCCUAAUU